GGAGAGGGAUGUCCGAUCGCCGGGCCGUUCGCGGCCUGGAGGAAAGUCCGGACACCGCAGGGCAUGGUGGUGGGUAACGCCCACCGUCCGUGAGGACAGGGAAAGUGCCACAGAAAGCAAACCGCCGACGUUUCAGGAGUUACUUCUGAAGCGGGUAAGGGUGAAACGGUGAGGUAAGAGCUCACCAGCGGGGCGGGUGACCGUUCCGGCUCGGCAAACCCCACCAGGUGCAAGACCAAAUAAGGGGGCAAUUUCGAGCGAGCUUCGGCUUUCUCGGGAUACGAAUCGGCCCGAUUCGUCACGACUUCCGGGUAGGUCGCACGAGGCGUGGCGCAAGUCACGUCCCAGAUUCAUGAUCGGAGGCUGGCGGAGAUUCCGUCGGCGCACGAAAUCCGGCUUACGUUUCCUCUCCCGUC
RNAcentral lists this RNase P RNA (416 nucleotides) under bacterium. RNAcentral describes it as "RNase P RNA component class A". It matches the Rfam family "Bacterial RNase P class A". From Rfam's summary of the family: Ribonuclease P (RNase P) is a ubiquitous endoribonuclease, found in archaea, bacteria and eukarya as well as chloroplasts and mitochondria. Its best characterised activity is the generation of mature 5'-ends of tRNAs by cleaving the 5'-leader elements of precursor-tRNAs. Cellular RNase Ps are ribonucleoproteins. The record is from RNAcentral.